UACGUAGGAGGCGAGCGUUGUCCGGAGUUACUGGGCGUAAAGGGUGCGCAGGCGGCCUGCCGCGUGGGGGGUGAAAUCGCCCGGCUUAACCGGGCGGGGGCUUUCCAGACGGGCAGGCUUGAGGAGCGGAGAGGGGCGCGGAAUUCCGGGUGGAGCGGUGAAAUGCGUAGAGAUCCGGAAGAACACCGACGGCGAAGGCAGCGCCCUGGACGUUAUCUGACGCUCAUGCACGAAAGCGCGGGGAGCGAACAGG
RNAcentral lists this ribosomal RNA (253 nucleotides) under uncultured bacterium. RNAcentral's name for it is "partial 16S ribosomal RNA". It matches the Rfam family "Bacterial small subunit ribosomal RNA", at positions 524 to 776 of the family's 1533-position model. The record is from RNAcentral.